Capra hircus (goat) is the source of this 107-nucleotide small nuclear RNA. The record is from Ensembl. NCBI's taxonomy places the organism in Eukaryota, Metazoa, Chordata, Mammalia, Artiodactyla, Bovidae.
GAGAAUAUUUCGGUGCUUGCCUCUGCCCUAAAACUGGAAUUAUACAGAGGUUAGCAUGACCCCUGUGCAAGGAUGGCACGAACAUGUGUACUGCUUUCCAUAGUUUU